This 254-nucleotide ribosomal RNA is filed under the name uncultured bacterium. Its description in RNAcentral is "partial 16S ribosomal RNA". It matches the Rfam family "Bacterial small subunit ribosomal RNA", at positions 524 to 776 of the family's 1533-position model. The record is from RNAcentral.
GACGUAGGGCGCAAGCGUUGUCCGGAAUUAUUGGGCGUAAAGAGCUCGUAGGCGGCUUGUCGCGUCGACUGUGAAAACCCGUGGCUCAACCAUGCGGUCUGCAGUCGAUACGGGCAGGCUAGAAUUCGGUAGGGGAGACUGGAAUUCCUGGUGUAGCGGUGAAAUGCGCAGAUAUCAGGAGGAACACCGGUGGCGAAGGCGGGUCUCUGGGCCGAUAUUGACGCUGAGGAGCGAAAGCGUGGGGAGCGAACAGG